Molecule: ribosomal RNA, 149 nt
Filed under: uncultured eukaryote
Lineage: Eukaryota
Description: partial 18S ribosomal RNA
Rfam family: Eukaryotic small subunit ribosomal RNA
Source: RNAcentral
UGGUGGAGUGAUUAGUCUGCUUAAUUGCGAUAACGAACGAGACCUUAAUCUGCUCAUAAAUAGUUACGUGAACCUUUGCGCUAAUCGUGGAUAACUUCUUAGAGGGACUUUUGCGUGUUUUAGUCCAAAGGAAGUUUGAGGCAAUAACA